CCAGACUAUCGGCUAAUCGCUUACUUGCAACAUAGUAAGAGGAAAGUCCGGGCAGCAAAGGGAAAUGGCAGUCGUUAACGGCGACCGGGCGCGAGCCUAGGGAAAGUGCCACAGAAACCAAACCGCCUUGGCUCCGGCCAAGGUAAGGGUGAAAAGAGCGGGGUAAGAGCCCGCAGUUGACCGCGGUGACGCGGCCAAGUGGUAAACCCUGCCUGCUGCAAGGAGUUGUUCUGCCAUAUAGACGUCCCGUCGGCAUGACAACAUAAGAACCGCGCGAGCUGUGCGGCAACGUACAGCCAAGAUAGAUGAUUAGCCCCUUUUACAAAGGGACAAAACCCGGCUUACAGAUAGUCUGGCGCC
This 360-nucleotide RNase P RNA is filed under the name Candidatus Saccharimonadota bacterium. RNAcentral's name for it is "RNase P RNA component class A". It matches the Rfam family "Bacterial RNase P class A". From Rfam's summary of the family: Ribonuclease P (RNase P) is a ubiquitous endoribonuclease, found in archaea, bacteria and eukarya as well as chloroplasts and mitochondria. Its best characterised activity is the generation of mature 5'-ends of tRNAs by cleaving the 5'-leader elements of precursor-tRNAs. Lineage: Bacteria; Candidatus Saccharimonadota. The record is from RNAcentral.